UACGUAGGGUCCGAGCGUUGUCCGGAAUUAUUGGGCGUAAAGGGCUCGUAGGCGGUUUGUCACGUCGGGAGUGAAAACACGGGGCUUAACCCCGUGCCUGCUUCCGAUACGGGCAGACUAGAGGUAUGCAGGGGAGAACGGAAUUCCUGGUGUAGCGGUGGAAUGCGCAGAUAUCAGGAGGAACACCGAUGGCGAAGGCAGAUCUCUGGGCCGUAACUGACGCUGAGGAGCGAAAGCGUGGGGAGCGAACAGG
Molecule: ribosomal RNA, 253 nt
Filed under: uncultured bacterium
Lineage: Bacteria
Description: partial 16S ribosomal RNA
Rfam family: Bacterial small subunit ribosomal RNA
Source: RNAcentral